GAUGAACGCUGGCGGCGUGCCUAAUACAUGCAAGUCGAACGAGGAACUUUAAUCUUCGGAUGAAAGUUUCCUAGUGGCGAACGGGUGAGUAACGCGUUGGUGACCUGCCCCAAAGUGGGGGAUAACAGUUCGAAAGGACUGCUAAUACCGCAUAAGAUCAAUGGGAUUAGAUGCCUAUUGAUUAAAGGCGAAAGUCGCUUUGGGAGGGGCCUGCGUCCCAUCAGCUUGUUGGUAGGGUAAUAGCCUACCAAGGCUAAGACGGGUAGGGGACCUGAGAGGGUGGCCCCCCACACUGGCACUGAAACACGGGCCAGACACCUACGGGUGGCAGCAGUAGGGAAUAUUGGACAAUGGGCGAAAGCCUGAUCCAGCAACGCCGCGUGCGCGAUGAAGGCCUUCGGGUUGUAAAGCGCUUUUAGGGGAGAGUGAGAAAGGACAGUAUCCUCUGAAUAAGCCUCGGCGAACUACGUG
This 471-nucleotide ribosomal RNA is filed under the name uncultured bacterium. RNAcentral describes it as "bacterial SSU rRNA". It matches the Rfam family "Bacterial small subunit ribosomal RNA", at positions 28 to 507 of the family's 1533-position model. The record is from RNAcentral.